RNAcentral lists this ribosomal RNA (326 nucleotides) under uncultured bacterium. RNAcentral's name for it is "bacterial SSU rRNA". It matches the Rfam family "Bacterial small subunit ribosomal RNA", at positions 32 to 334 of the family's 1533-position model. The record is from RNAcentral.
GAUGUAACGCUGGCGGCGUGCCUAACACAUGCAAGUCGAACGAAGCGAGUUUAACGGAAGUUUCGGAGUGGAAGUUGAAUUGACUGAGUGGCGGACGGGUGAGUAACGCGUGGGUAACCUGCCUUGUACUGGGGGACAACAGUUAGAAAUGACUGCUAAUACCGCAUAAGCGCACAGUAUUGCAUGAUACAGUGUGAAAAACUCCGGUGGUACAAGAUGGACCCGCGUCUGAUUAGCUAGUUGGUAAGGUAACGGCUUACCAAGGCGACGAUCGGUAGCCGGACUGAGAGGUUGAACGGCCACAUUGGGACUGAGACACGGCCCAG